GCUUCUCGGUCGAGUGGUAAGGACACUUGCCUUUCACUCUGUAGUCCCGGGUUCGAUCCCCGGUUGAGGAGCU
Rhamnusium bicolor is the source of this 73-nucleotide non-coding RNA. NCBI's taxonomy places the organism in Eukaryota, Metazoa, Arthropoda, Insecta, Coleoptera, Cerambycidae. The record is from the annotation of a GenBank genome assembly.